RNAcentral lists this long non-coding RNA (331 nucleotides) under Homo sapiens (human). Its description in RNAcentral is "non-protein coding lnc-DCAF17-6:1". The record is from RNAcentral. Lineage: Eukaryota; Metazoa; Chordata; Mammalia; Primates; Hominidae.
CCGUUACAGCAACACAAAACGGACUAAGACACUUGGGUUACUUUCACCUUUUGGCUACUGUGAAAAAUGCUACUAUGAACAUGCAUGUACAAAUAUCUCCUCAGGUCCAUGCUUUCAAUUAUUUUGGGUAUAUGCUAAGAAUUGCUGAAUCACAUGAUAAUUCUAUUUUUAAUUUUUUGGGGGCCCACCAUACUGUUUUCUAUAGCUAUUGCACCAUUUUACAUUCCCAUCAACAGUGCACAAGAGUUCCAAUUUCUCCAUACCUUUGCCAACAUUUAUUAUUUUCUGGGUUUUGGUAGUAGCCAUCCUAAUGGGUUUGAGGGGGUAUCCC